This is a long non-coding RNA of Zophobas morio, 1469 nucleotides long. RefSeq lists it as uncharacterized. The transcript is spliced from 3 exons. NCBI's taxonomy places the organism in Eukaryota, Metazoa, Arthropoda, Insecta, Coleoptera, Tenebrionidae. The record is from RefSeq and is a predicted model, not a curated record.
CGCAUUUGCCCCAUCAAAAUUCCCCGCCCGUCUGCUUCCCCGAUAGAUCAAUCCAUGAGGUUUCUCGGCCCGAAAUCAAUCACAUUAACUCGGCCCGAUCUUAAUUGGUAUUAAUAGCCUCAAGUCCAUCAAUAUUACGUUCCAUCCGAAGAAGUCUCCCAAGUUCAACGUGACGACACCGCUGGCAUCUUUAUAGCCAACAAAAUAUACUCAACAACAUACAUAAGAUGUCAUCGAAAUUUCUUCGUCCGCCAUAAUUUAUCGCGUUAUUAAUAAGUGUCAGCUUUCUUCAUUGUACCAACUUACAAAUGGCUGACGAUCGAUUAAAAAAGUCCGAUUGACACCGGCCGUAUGUCCCGGUCCAGAUGAAAAAUAUCGUUUUGUGUUGUUGAAAUGGCCACAAUAAAUUUUCAGAGUUUACUAUUUCGAGAUUAAUGAACUUGAGCGAGUCGUUCAUUGAUGCUCUCUUGAAUAUCUAACUUCUACGUCACAAAAUUCAUUUGAAUAACAUUUGAAUACAUCGAUCUGGUGUAAUACUGAACACGAAGAACUUGGCCUAGGUCGGACUGCUCGAUAGCGGCACCACGCGAGCGAAGGUACGUAGAUUAACUUGUUAGUUUAAAGGUAAAAGAAGGAAAUGACGAGGAAAGAGAAAAUAAGACAUCAAGAGGAUCGUAGUUGCAAAGCCCCAGAUCUACUAAAAGAACAAUGACUUCGCACGAUAUCAACUGUGAGUGUGGUAAAGAUGUCGCAGUUUUGAAAAUCUUCCACGAAAACGCUUUUCGGGACGUUGCUGACCAUGGACGUGGUUGAUGGAUCUGGAAGAACUGGAAGUGUGAAUAAAGGCAAAUCAGCAGGAAGAUCAUCAUAAGUCCUCAAUUAACUAACUCAUUAAUAAAUAAAUCGUUUAACAUUUUCUUCAUUAUUUUCAGUUGAUAUUUAACCAUAAUUUAGCCUCCUUCGAGCGAGUCGCCACUGCCCAAUACAUGAUCUACUCCGGCUUAUUUAGUUUGUUAUUUAUUGUGAAGCUGAUCAGAUUACCCACCUGUUCGAUAAUAUCAAAUUACGUUUCGGUGGCCGCUCAAACUGAUACGAAGUAUGUGAUGGGAAGAGGAAGUCGUGUUUUCGGGAGAGAAGAGGUGCAUACGUCAUAUUUUCUCAUUUGGAGUUCGGGGUCGUGAGUGUUCCUCCCCAUUGACAGAUAACUGUCAAUAUUGGUCGUCAAUCAGAAACGUAACCGCAUUACCGUCGACUCGGAUAUAUAUUACGAUACACCAAAUAAAUCCGGCUGGAUUGAAUCGUCUCCGAGGGAGUUGUGGACACAAACACGGCGAACUUGAAUAACGGAACUAGUUUUCUUGGAGUUGAAGGAGUCUUGGAUGAAAAGGGAGUGAACACAGUUAUGCAUCUAGAUAUUAUAAAUUUAACAAAUUGGUGGCACUCUGAAGAAAAGCUCUGGAAAAGAUGAU